CCAGACUCCUACGGGAGGCAGCAGUGGGGGAUAUUGCACAAUGGGGGAAACCCUGAUGCAGCGACGCCGCGUGGGCGAAGAAGUAUUUCGGUAUGUAAAGCCCUAUCAGCAGGGAAGAAGAAAUGACGGUACCUGAGUAAGAAGCACCGGCUAAAUACGUGCCAGCAGCCGCGGUAAUACGUAUGGUGCAAGCGUUAUCCGGAUUUACUGGGUGUAAAGGGAGCGUAGACGGCCAUGCAAGCCAGGGGUGAAAGCCCGGGGCCCAACCCCGGGACUGCCCUUGGAACUGCAUGGCUGGAGUGCGGGAGGGGCAGGCGGAAUUCCUGGUGUAGCGGUGAAAUGCGUAGAUAUCAGGAGGAACACCGGCGGCGAAGGCGGCCUGCUGGACCGCGACUGACGUUGAGGCUCGAAAGCGUGGGGAGCGAACAGGAUUAGAUACCCCAGUA
Molecule: ribosomal RNA, 446 nt
Filed under: uncultured bacterium
Lineage: Bacteria
Description: bacterial SSU rRNA
Rfam family: Bacterial small subunit ribosomal RNA
Source: RNAcentral